UACAGAGGUCUCAAGCGUUGUUCGGAUUCAUUGGGCGUAAAGGGUGCGUAGGUGGCGCCGUAAGUCAGGUGUGAAAUUUCGGAGCUUAACUCCGAAACUGCAUUUGAUACUGCGGUGCUUGAGGACUGGAGAGGAGACUGGAAUUCACGGUGUAGCAGUGAAAUGCGUAGAUAUCGUGAGGAAGACCAGUGGCGAAGGCGGGUCUCUGGGCAGUAACUGACGCUGAG
This 227-nucleotide ribosomal RNA is filed under the name uncultured bacterium. RNAcentral's name for it is "partial 16S ribosomal RNA". It matches the Rfam family "Bacterial small subunit ribosomal RNA", at positions 524 to 750 of the family's 1533-position model. The record is from RNAcentral.